GGGGAUUUAGCUCAGUGGUAGAGCGUUUGCCUAGCAAGCACAAGGCCCUGAGUUCUGUCCUCAGCUCUG
Molecule: transfer RNA, 69 nt
Filed under: Rattus norvegicus (Norway rat)
Lineage: Eukaryota; Metazoa; Chordata; Mammalia; Rodentia; Muridae
Rfam family: tRNA
About the family: Transfer RNA (tRNA) molecules are approximately 80 nucleotides in length. Their secondary structure includes four short double-helical elements and three loops (D, anti-codon, and T loops).
Source: Rfam by way of RNAcentral